AUGCAGUCGAGCGGUAAGGCCCUUCGGGGUACACGAGCGGCGAACGGGUGAGUAACACGUGGGUGAUCUACCUUGCACUUCGGGAUAAGCCUGGGAAACUGGGUCUAAUACCGGAUAUGACCUGAGGUUGCAUGACUUCGGGUGGAAAGAUUUAUCGGUGCGAGAUGGGCCCGCGGCCUAUCAGCUUGUUGGUGAGGUAACGGCUCACCAAGGCGACGACGGGUAGCCGACCUGAGAGGGUGACCGGCCACACUGGGACUGAGACACGGCCCAGACUCCUACGGGAGGCAGCAGUGGGGAAUAUUGCACAAUGGGCGCAAGCCUGAUGCAGCGACGCCGCGUGCGGGAUGACGGCCUUCGGGUUGUAAACCGCUUUUGACAGGGACGAAGCGCAAGUGACUGUACCUGUAGAAUAAGGACCGGCCAACUACGUGCCAGCAGCCGCGGUAAUACGUAGGGUCCGAGCGUUGUCCGGAAUUACUGGGCGUAAAGAGCUUGUAGGCGGUUCGUCGCGUCGUUUGUGAAAACUUGGGGCUCAACCUUAAGCUUGCAGGCGAUACGGGCGGACUAGAGUACUUCAGGGGAGACUGGAAUUCCUGGUGUAGCGGUGAAAUGCGCAGAUAUCAGGAGGAACACCGGUGGCGAAGGCGGGUCUCUGGGAAGUAACUGACGCUGAGAAGCGAAAGCAUGGGUAGCAAACAGGAUUAGAUACCCUGGUAGUCCAUGCCGUAAACGGUGGGUACUAGGUGUGGGGCUCCUUCCACGGACUCCGUGCCGUAGCUAACGCAUUAAGUACCCCGCCUGGGGAGUACGGCCGCAAGGCUAAAACUCAAAGAAAUUGACGGGGGCCCGCACAAGCGGCGGAGCAUGUGAUUAAUUCGAUGCAACGCGAAGAACCUUACCUGGGUUUGACAUACACCGGAAACCUGCAGAGAUGUAGC
This 941-nucleotide ribosomal RNA is filed under the name Nocardia sp. Its description in RNAcentral is "bacterial SSU rRNA". It matches the Rfam family "Bacterial small subunit ribosomal RNA", at positions 55 to 1012 of the family's 1533-position model. The record is from RNAcentral. Lineage: Bacteria; Bacillati; Actinomycetota; Actinomycetes; Mycobacteriales; Nocardiaceae.